GCGUUCGUAGACGAGUGGUCAAGUCGUCAGUCUGUGACACUGAAGAACGCGGGUUCAAAUCCCGCCGGGCGCCCCA
This 76-nucleotide transfer RNA is filed under the name Capsulimonas corticalis. RNAcentral's name for it is "tRNA-His". It matches the Rfam family "tRNA". Rfam says of the family: Transfer RNA (tRNA) molecules are approximately 80 nucleotides in length. Their secondary structure includes four short double-helical elements and three loops (D, anti-codon, and T loops). Lineage: Bacteria; Bacillati; Armatimonadota; Armatimonadia; Capsulimonadales; Capsulimonadaceae. The record is from RNAcentral.